UCCCUCUCAGGGUCGCACCUGGAGAGUUUCCAGUACUCUACUAGUCUCGACUACGGGAGGGAGAGUCAAGCAGAGGCAUACCCAUUCCAUUCCUAGUUUGGCCAGUGGCUAGCGAGUGGAAGGCUAUCUGCUACAAAU
Molecule: small nucleolar RNA, 138 nt
Filed under: Ornithorhynchus anatinus (platypus)
Lineage: Eukaryota; Metazoa; Chordata; Mammalia; Monotremata; Ornithorhynchidae
Source: RNAcentral